RNAcentral lists this ribosomal RNA (471 nucleotides) under uncultured bacterium. Its description in RNAcentral is "bacterial SSU rRNA". It matches the Rfam family "Bacterial small subunit ribosomal RNA", at positions 335 to 799 of the family's 1533-position model. The record is from RNAcentral.
ACUCCUACGGGAGGCAGCAGUAGGGAAUAUUGGUCAAUGGGCGAAAGCCUGAACCAGCCAUGCCGCGUGUCAGAUGAAGGUCCUCUGGAUUGUAAAUGACUUUUCUACGGGAAGAAUGAGCCGUCUGCGGACGGAAGUUGACGGUACUGUAGGAAUAAGCACCGGCUAACUACGUGCCAGCAGCCGCGGUAAUACGUAGGGGUGCAAGCGUUGUCCGGAUUUACUGGGUUUAAAGGGUACGUAGGCGGUUGUGCCAAGUCUGGGGUGAAAGUUUGCAGCUCAACUGUAAAAUUGCCUUGGAUACUGGUCGGCUAGAGUAGUGGAGCGGUGGCUGGAAUUUAUAGUGUAGCGGUGAAAUGCUUAGAUACUAUGAGGAACACCAAUUGCGAAGGCAGGUCACUGGUCACUAACUGACGCUGAGGUACGAAAGUGUGGGGAUCAAACAGGAUUAGAUACCCUGGUAGGAUAGCG